Long non-coding RNA from Dermochelys coriacea (leatherback sea turtle), 3894 nucleotides. RefSeq lists it as uncharacterized. NCBI's taxonomy places the organism in Eukaryota, Metazoa, Chordata, Testudines, Dermochelyidae. The transcript has 3 exons. The record is from RefSeq and is a predicted model, not a curated record.
GUGUUUUUCAGUCUAAUUUGCUGACUCCUAAAAAUUUUCAAAUGGAGGUGCAGACCCCUUUGGAAAUGUUAUAGGUUCAAAACCACUGUUCUAGAAACAUGUAGGAGCAGCAUGUGCGCUCCCUUGUGAAACCUGAAGUUUGCACCUAGGGUUAUGGGGGGGGAAGCAGAAAUACAAGGUGAAUAGUCUGGAUCUAUAUUAACAAUCUAGCCCAAUAAAUGAAGGUUUCUUGCUUGUAAUUGGAGAUUCUUUGAGAUGUGGGGUCCCUAUUUGUAUUCCACAUGCAGGUAUGCAUGAACACCACGCACUUGAGACUGGUAAAGCCUUCCAAGUAGCAACCCUUGGUCCACCCCUGUGCCCUGGUUCUCCUUGUGCUCUAUACUGAGGGCAUAAGGGGAGGCAUAAACCAGUCACCUCUGAAGUUCAUUCUCUACCACAAAUCCAAGUAUGAUCCAAAGCAGAGGGAAAGGAGAGCGGGUAGUGGAAUACAGAUAGGGACCACACAUCUCAAAGAGCCUCUAGUUACAGGUAAGUAACGUUUAUUUCCUCAAGUCCUGGUUCCUAUGUGUAUUCCACAAAUCAGUGACUGGCAAGUAGUACUCAAACAGAAAGGGUGCAAGGAUGCAGGCAGCAUAGAUGCCUGUAACAAUGGAAACCCUAAGGUUGCAUCAGCAGAAGAGGCUUGGACCAAUGCAUAAUGUCUUGUGAAAGCAUAGCUGUUACUCCUGGUUGCCCCCUUAAUGUCCAGCAUAGGAACAUCUCAAAGAGAUGGUGCUGUUCCUGCCUGUGCUCUAGUGAAAUGCUCCCAGGUAGGGAGAUGCAUCAACUGAUAGCAAAGGAGAAUAUAGCCAGAUAUCCAUGUAAGAGUUUGAACAGUAAGAGUCUUGAGUAGUCCGUGCUUCGUCUGCUACAGCAACAAAUAGUCUAGGUGAUUUCUUAACAGGUUUUGUUCUUUGCAGGUUGAACACUAUUGCUUGUUCUGACAUUGAAAGAAUGAAGUCUCCUCUCCAAAAGGAUGCGGCUUCAGUAAGAAUAUUGGGGUAGGAGUACAUAUUGCCAGUGUACAUCUAGCUGGUUCCAUAACAGCUUCAUUCACCAAGAGAGCUACCCUGUUGGGUUCUGCAGACUGCAGGAUAUCUAAGAGCUUCUGCUGCGUAUCUUGGACUUCUAAUAGAAAGUGAAGUUUUACCACCAUCCUCUGCAAGAGUUCUUAAUAUUGCCUAUGGUAAUAUGGUUCCAGCUCUUCAUCUUCCUCCUCCAUGUAAUCCUAUGGAGUUGAGUGCUAUUGUCUAGGAGAAGAGGGAUUAUGUGACUAUCUAGUAGAGCACAUGUAUCUAAGGAGUGUGCAUAAGGAUCCUCUGGACACCAACAGGGCCAGUAAGAAGGAUCAAAGGCUAGUUCAGGGGGCCCCCAAGGCAUUGGGUACCAGCAAUCUCCUGGAGGGUAAUCCUGCUUGGGCACAGGACAGGUCCAAGAAAUACCUAUGUGGGGGGGAGGCAGGAGGAUAGUUUAUCUUGGACAUCCAUUUCAGCCAAUGGGAAGGCUGGAUCCUGCUUUAAUCAGUGGCACCAUCAAAGCUGGUGAGAGGAAGCCCUGGCUCACAGAUGGAUUAGGAAAGUAAUUUCUUCUCCUUGAGGUUGUAUCCUCUUCUGGGGUUUCCCUGAGAAGGACUAGGCAGAAAAGCAGAAGAGACUGUGGGUCCAGGAGUGCAAAGAUACUAUCCCAGAGGGUAUUUGUCUCAGCCAAUCCAGGAGUACAAGGAUCCCAGUUGUUGGAUCUGUCAAAAUCCAUGCCAUGUCAGACUUAGUGGUCGGUGGUCUUUACAGGUUCAGUCCAGUACCAAGGUGAAAGAAAGAGUACCUCAUUUGGAGCUCUUGGUUGUUACAGUUGUCAGUCCUUCAGUUUGUUAGAGGUCAUGGCCAGCACUAGUGUUUGUUACCAAGGUUAGUAUCAUUGGGGCUUUACUCCUGAACAUUUUCCCUUCAUGGAUGGGAGGCUUAAAACGACUCAAGUCCUUGGGACCCGUGUGCAAAGGCUCAUCCAACUUGGAAGUUAGAGAGGAAUCCUUCUCCUUCAAGCAGGCUUAAAGGGGGAAUCUGAUUUUAUGCUUGCAAAAGCACUUCCUAGUUUCAUGAGAUGCCCAAGAGUGUCUGUAGAUCAAUCUGAUCCAGUCUGCUCCAGAGCUCAUGCUCGGAGGGUGUGUUGCUUGAGGACAGCAGCUGAGGUAAAGGGGGAAUCUCCGCAGACUGGAUCUGACUGACUGUCUCAUGGCUUUUUCCCUGAGGAACUUCUUCACUUGAAACGCUCGUCUCUCUCUGCUCCGGGAUGGGAAGGAGUAACAGAUACUGCGCCUGACUGAGAUAUGAGCAAGCUGAAGGCACCAAAGACACAGAAUUCCAACUCAGAGCAUGUGGUGGCAAGGAGGAACUGAAGAGGGAGCCAGCCCCCACCUCCUCUUAAAUCCUCUGUACAGAUCAUGAGAAAAACCAGAGCACAGGGAUGGACCAACAGAUGCUACUUGCAAGAUUUUCCAGUCUCGUUCACAUGUAGGCUAGUAACCCUUUUUCCUCAGAGUACUAUCAACAGAACAACCUCACAAAGUUCAAUAUCAGAAGCAAGUUCCCCAUAUACCAGGAGACAACUCAAAGUGACAUCGAACCCUGCUAGAACAGAUGCAAAACCUGCAGACAUAUCUCUACUGUUACAAUGAUCAAUACUGCCCCAAAAUACACCUUUCAAUAUUACAUGCUUAUCACAACAUAUGGCAUACCUCAUCCAGUGCACCAAAUGCCCCAACUAUGAGGGUGAAACCAGACAAUCAUCAUGCUCUUCAAUGAGCUCACACAGAAAAAUGGUAAAAAGGCAAAAACCCACUACCACUGGUGGGUGGACACUUUUCAAAGCAAUCACUCCAUACCUAAUCUUUCAUUACUUCUCCUCAGGGGAAACCUGCAGAACACUUUCAAAAAACAAGCCUGGGAACUUGAAUUCAUAGCUCUGCUAGACACAAGAAAACAUGGAUUUAACAAGGACACUGGUCUUAUGGCUCAUUACAACAAUUUAACAGACAACACCACCUGCUAUCCCUCAAUUAUCCACUUCAAACCCUUUAUGGAUAACAAUCUAACCCCCCAUUACCCACUUCAUUUCAGGUGACCGACUCCAAAAUCUUGCACCUUCUGUUUAUCAAUCUAUCCCAACCUGUAUUUAGCUCAGGCAUACCGCUUCCUUCCCUUGUCCUGAAAAAAAGCGCUCUGUGGCUCGAAAGUUUGUACCUUCCAACAAGCACUACAAACAAUUAAAAAUAGGAAUCUGGCUAGGAUACCAAGAUAAACCUCUAAUCUUUGUAAAAAAGAAAAACUGGUUAUUUAAUGACCAGCCGACAAGUGCACUCAGUCCUACUUCUUGUUCAGCCAAAUCAAUAAGAAAAAUAACUUUGCAUUUACGGGAGAUAUGCUAUCCGCUUCUUAUUUACAAUGUCACCUGAAAAGUGAGAACAGGUGCAUGGUACUUUUGUAGCCAGCACUGCAAGGAUUUUACAUGCCAAAUAUACUAAACAUUCGUAUGCCCCAUCAUGCUUCAGCCAGGCUGGGGCUGUACUGGCCAGGCAGCACUGCUCUGGCUGGGCGGUGAGGCUGGGGCCCCUAUGGCUGGCACGGGGCUGCUGGGACUGGCCAGCCCGGAGGUUAGAUGUCCUCUAGAUUAACCAGUAGACUAAUGCUUACUGGUUAACAUUUUACAUCCCUAAUUGCAAGGUAUUUACAUGCCAGCUAUGCUAAACAUUCAUGCUUUGGCCACCAUUCCAGAGGACAUGCUUCCAUGCUGACAAUGCUCAUUAACAAAAUAUCACGUUAAUUAAAUUUCUGACUGAACUCCUUGGGGGAGAACUGUAUG